UGAGCAACCUGCCCUUGGCUUCGGGAUAACUCCGGGAAACCGGGGCUAAUACCGGAUGUGACAUGCCCGCGCAUGGGGGUGUGUGGAAAGAUUUAUCGGCCAGGGAUGGGCUCGCGGCCUAUCAGCUUGUUGGUGGGGUGAUGGCCUACCAAGGCGACGACGGGUAGCCGGCCUGAGAGGGCGACCGGCCACACUGGGACUGAGACACGGCCCAGACUCCUAGGGGAGGCA
This 231-nucleotide ribosomal RNA is filed under the name uncultured bacterium. RNAcentral describes it as "partial 16S ribosomal RNA". It matches the Rfam family "Bacterial small subunit ribosomal RNA", at positions 118 to 350 of the family's 1533-position model. The record is from RNAcentral.